This is a long non-coding RNA of Anguilla rostrata (American eel), 582 nucleotides long. RefSeq lists it as uncharacterized. Lineage: Eukaryota; Metazoa; Chordata; Actinopteri; Anguilliformes; Anguillidae. The record is from RefSeq and is a predicted model, not a curated record. The transcript is spliced from 3 exons.
CAGUGGUCCCCCAGGAUCGAGUGUGAGAACCACUGCGUUAGAGGGCCAUGUUCCCCCAAGGCCAAAUAAUCAGUGCCCCUAGGCAGUGACAGGAACGCCGUGCUGUAGGCGACGCUGUCUUUGGGAUGAGACGUAAAACCGAGUUCCUGACUCACCGUGCUCUCUCAACCUGCCACCACAUCACCCCCUGAUUUAAUAGGCUAAAAACUGUUAUCUCCCUCUCCGCCUCAGCUGAUGUGUUGUGAGCGUUAGCCUACGACGCAAAUUGGCUGUCGUGCGUCACCCAGGUGGGUGAUACACAUCGAUCGUGGUUAUGGCAUAUUUGCAGACCCACAGGCCAGCUGAACAGGAAGCACGUUUGGUCUAAGCUGAAGCCACGUGGCGGAGCACCGUUAUGAAUAACAGUGUGUGCCGGGAAGCCUCGUCACAAAGGCCAACCACCUACACGGCUAAAGCAGACCAUGCGGAUCUCUGUACACCUACGCCCAGGAGCACGGCUCAGCCAAGCGACUGGUACCUCAUCACACUGCUUAAUUAAACAGAUUCAUUAUGCUAAUUAAACCAAGGGAUGAUUAAAAUAUC